Neomonachus schauinslandi (Hawaiian monk seal) is the source of this 1207-nucleotide RNA transcript. It is a transcript of the gene named ubiquitin-like protein FUBI, with no coding region annotated. The record is from RefSeq and is a predicted model, not a curated record. The transcript has a single exon. NCBI's taxonomy places the organism in Eukaryota, Metazoa, Chordata, Mammalia, Carnivora, Phocidae.
AGUACCUACCUCUUAAGGGUCUUGUGAAGAUCGUGCUUGGCAUCCCCUUAAAUCUCCAUAAAUGCUGCUCAUGGGAUCCUGUCUAUCCAUGGGGCCACAGGACCCAUCAACAUCCUCAGCUCCUGCUUCCUCCCAUGAGGUAUACCGUUAGACUUCGCCUCCCUGUACUCUUAAGCAGCAGCAAGCCAUCAUCCACCUGCCUGGGUCUGGCCUCCUGAUGUAUCCCUAGAGGACCCUCGCAGAGGCUUUCUCCCAGCCAGACGGUUUACCCUCCUCUAGGCUAUCUUCCACCGCCAAGCUCCUUCAAGGCAUUGAUCAUUCCUAUCUGACCCACCUUGGCAGCUACACCCAGUUGACUGCACCUCCAGCAGGACCCCAAAACCUGAACGAGAUUCCAAACCUCCCCAUCUGCAGGUGCCAUCUGGAAUUCCACCCAGAACUCCCUGUCUAGUUCAUUGGCCUGGCAACUUCUUUCUCCCCUUCCUCUGCCUUCUCUGAUGCCCUGACCCCUCUAGGCCAAGCUCAUCCCUGCAGCCUUUAGGGGAAGGAACUGGGAAUCCAGGCAGAAGGAACAGCAUGUGCAAAAGUUUAGAGGUGUGGAAGAGCCAGGAGAACCAGCUAUAGGCUGGCUCAGUGUGCAGCUGGAGAAAAUGCAGGAAUGUUAAAGUCAGCUAAGGAAGAGCAUCAAAUGCCAUAUCUGAAUUCUGUCUUGAUGGGUUUUAAGUAGGAGAAUGAGGAAUCAUAACCACAUCUGCCAUUAGAAAGGUCACUGGCUGACCUUUGUGGUGGCAGCAGGGGUUACCGGCAUUCAGUUGCUGGUAUGCAGCUUUCUGUUCACGCCCAGGAGCUACACACCCUUGACGUGACUGGCCAGGGCACGAUAGCCCAGAUCAAGGCUCACACAGACUUGUUGGAGGGCAUCACUCCAAGGAGAUCAAGUCCUGCUCCUUGCAGGCACACCCCUAGACGAUGAAGCUACCAGGGCCAGUGUGGGGUGGAGGCUCCGACCACUCUGGAAGUAACCAUCCACAUGCUUGGAGGUAAAGUCCAUGGUUCCCUGGGCCGUGCUGGGAGAAUAAGAGGGCAGACCCAAAGUGGCCAAACAGGAGAAAAAGAAGACAGGCCAGGCCAAGCAGUGGAUGCAGAACUGGUGUUUGUUAAUGCUGUGCCCGCCUUUGGCAAGAAGGGCCCCAGUGCCAACUCUUAA